AAAGUACUCCAUCCGUCCCAAAAUUCUUGUCUUAGAUUUGUCUAGAUACAUAUGUAUCAAGUCACAUUUUAGUAUUAGAUACAUCCGUAUCUAGACAAAUAUAAGACAAGAAAUUUGUGACAGAGGGAGUAGUUG
Non-coding RNA from Triticum aestivum (bread wheat), 135 nucleotides. The record is from Rfam. Lineage: Eukaryota; Viridiplantae; Streptophyta; Magnoliopsida; Poales; Poaceae.